RNAcentral lists this ribosomal RNA (506 nucleotides) under uncultured bacterium. RNAcentral describes it as "bacterial SSU rRNA". It matches the Rfam family "Bacterial small subunit ribosomal RNA", at positions 29 to 519 of the family's 1533-position model. The record is from RNAcentral.
AACGAACGCUGGCGGCGUGCCUAACACAUGCAAGUCGAGCGCGAAAGGGCUUCGGCCCCGGUAGAGCGGCGCACGGGUGAGGAACACGUGAGUAAUCUACCCUUCGGCGGGGGACAACUGCUGGAAACGGCAGCUAAUACCGCGUACAGUCUUAGAAUCGCAGGGUUUUUAAGAGCAAAGAGGGGCUUCGGCUCUCACCGGAGGAUGGGCUCGCGUCCCAUUAGCUAGUUGCGGGGUAACGGCCCACCAAGGCUCAGAUGGGUAACUGGUCUGAGAGGAUGAUCAGUCACACUGGAACUGAGACACGGUCCAGACUCCUACGGGAGGCAGCAGUGGGGAAUAUUGCGCAAUGGACGAAAGUCUGACGCAGCAACGCCGCGUGGGUGAUGAAGGCCCUUGGGUCGUAAAGCCCUGUCAGGAGGGAAGAAUGAGCAGGCGGUUAAUACCCGUCUGAAGUGACGGUACCUCCAAAGGAAGCACCGGCUAACUCCGUGCCAGCAGCCGCG